Molecule: long non-coding RNA, 284 nt
Organism: Helianthus annuus (common sunflower)
Lineage: Eukaryota; Viridiplantae; Streptophyta; Magnoliopsida; Asterales; Asteraceae
Exons: 3
Source: RefSeq, a predicted model, not a curated record
AGAAAUUGUAAUCGAGCGGUCACCACAAAAACAAUUUCAAAAGAAAAGCAAGAUGGUUCCGAUGGUUUUGAAGAUAUUGUGGUUCUGGAGUGUAAGGACGAUGGCUGUAACAGUAAGACUGUUUACUCCGUUCCGAGGAUCAGGGUUCCGAUACGGGUUCAGGAUUGUACAGGGAUUGUGACGCUCACCCUAUUUGAGCGUGAGGUGCUUAAGCUGUUGAAGGUUAACGCGAGUCAGCUGUUGGAUAAGAACCUUGAUUUAGCUAACGAAGGGCAUUUUCCGCA